AAAAGGAUGUUGUCUGAUUCUCUGAAAGAGAAAUGUCCUGAGAUCUGAUUAGGAUACGGACCAGUUGGGCUUUAUGAGAAUUUAGCUGGCAAGUGACGGGCUUUUAUGGCAAUGGCUGGAGGGAAGAGAACAAGACGUCAGUGAAAGGCGGGGAUAAAGAAGAUUUCACGUCUUCAAAUUCCCGUUGUCUCAGUCUACGAAGGGUGCCUGUUUUUCCUGUUUCCAUAAUAAUGUGAUGUGCACUAGUGUUUGGAACAUGGGGAAGAUGAGAUGCCGAGAGUCAAGAAUAAUCCAGUGUUCAAUUGCACAAACAAUGGUCCUGCAUUUUAUUUAAAGACUUCCUUGGAACUACCAAACUUUAAUGUCAGUAAGUUCAUCCUCAAGUCUGACAUUGAAUUGCCUGCUGAAAAAGGUUUGAGAAAGACGAGAUCGUCACUCCUGUAGCUGGGAGGGCCACGUGACCCCAGAUGAUGCUGACAGCUGCAUCAGGAGCUCUGUGCACUGACAGCUAGUUUUCUUUCUAUCCUACUGUCUUUUUAGGGGAAUUCCAAAGGCACAACUGGCAUCUCUUUUUUGUUCUCUCUCAUAAAUCAUUAUGAGGGGGUUGGGGGAGGGUCUGGUAUUUUGCAACUGUAAUGUACCCCGAAAUCAAUGUGAAAUUUAAGGCUUCACAUUUGUGUGAGCAUUUGGAUCCCCCUGAGUAGUCAUUCAUGAUACCUUGUGAAUUCCUAAUAAAUACAAACGAUAGCUAACAUAAAAAACUCAGCUAAAUUGUAGGUGUUAUUAAAUAUAUUAUUUCCAGUACUAAUCUUUUCUUUCAUGGUUAGUGCUUCUUGUGUCCUGAUUAAGUAAUCUUUGUUCACCUCCGAAUCAUGAAGGUGUUCUCCUACGUGGUUUUCAAAGAAGCCUUAUUGCUCUACCUUUCACAUUAAGGUCUGCAAUCCAUCUCAAAUCAGUGUUCGCGUAUUGUGUGAAGUAAACGUCAAUGUUCAGUUUUAUUCCACAUGGUAUCAAACUGCUCAACCACUGUUUCUGUGAAAGCCCCACAUUUUCCCCUACUCAACUGCAGGGGCAGCCCAGCUGCCAAUCAAGUGGCCAUCUAUCCGUGCGUCUGCGUUUGGAGUCUCUCUUCUGU
RNAcentral lists this long non-coding RNA (1135 nucleotides) under Equus caballus (horse). RNAcentral's name for it is "lncRNA (ENSECAG00000057921.1)". Lineage: Eukaryota; Metazoa; Chordata; Mammalia; Perissodactyla; Equidae. The record is from RNAcentral.